CCAAAGAAAAUCCAUGAAUUUAUUUAAAAAAAAAAAAAAACCAGCAUGAAACUCAUAUUGCAUCCCUCGCACAGAAGAUCUAUGCAUGGGAACCAUAUGAAUCAAGCUCUAAUUCUCUAUACAGGAUAGCUGUUUCCAAACUGGACCAGCUCUCAAAAUGGAUUAUCAAGCCCAAGGGCCCAAGCAAAAUAGAUCAACAUGGGACGAAAGACGCGAAAUCACAACAGAACCUAACCUAAUCAAUCAACCAAUCAGAUAAUAAUAAUAAUAAUAAUAAUAAUGAUUACGACAGACAAAAAAAAAAGCUGUAAAUUUUCAAAACCUAAAAAGGAAGAAACCCUCGGUGAAACCUUAAAAUCAACAACACAAAAAAAAUCAAACGACUUCAAGAUGGAAAUCUGAAGAAACAACUUGGCUUUUGAUCUUUUAUUCAAGCCUCUUUAGUUGAACCUGGUCGAAGGAGAUGAAGAUGCAUAAUGAAAAAUAAUUUUUUUUUUUUACUCAUAGCACCUGGUUGCAGUAGAAGAGGAAGAAAGAUUCAAGCCCUCUUGAGUCUCUACUGAUCAAACCCAAACCUAAGGGUCUGCUUGUCUCUGCAUCUUCCUCUCCUUCUUCAACUCAGCCUCUCUCAAUUAUUUUGCUAUAAAAGCUAAUAAAGGGUUCUGGGUUUUUUUUUUCUUGACUAGAUUGAAGCCCUUGGAGUAAAAGCUGUGCUUUUGUUCCUUCUCCAACGCAACCUCUCUUGGUUAUUUUGCCACAAAAGCUAAUCAAGGGUUCUAGGUUAUUUGUUUUUCUUGACCAAAUCCAGGCCUUCUGAGGUCUGGAGUGAAAGCUGUGUUUCCGGUGCAAUAAGUCAAACGAAAAAAGAGGAAUAUGAUACGCGGUAGGAACGUAAAAAAGGUACAAAAAAAUAAAAUAAAAAAAAUAACAAAU
This 933-nucleotide long non-coding RNA is filed under the name Populus tremula. RNAcentral describes it as "long non-coding RNA (PTRE_LNC000390)". Lineage: Eukaryota; Viridiplantae; Streptophyta; Magnoliopsida; Malpighiales; Salicaceae. The record is from RNAcentral.